RNAcentral lists this long non-coding RNA (475 nucleotides) under Erythranthe guttata (spotted monkey flower). Its description in RNAcentral is "long non-coding RNA (EGUT_LNC000865)". The record is from RNAcentral. Lineage: Eukaryota; Viridiplantae; Streptophyta; Magnoliopsida; Lamiales; Phrymaceae.
CACCGUCCAAAUGCAGUGUUUUCAGUAGCUUCAAGCUGGAACCAAUGCGUGGUGCCGUCUUCAGACAAAAGCUUGAUGUGAAUAAGGUACGAGGGAAACAUGGCAUUUCGAUUCGCAUAUCGAAUUCGGUGCUCUGGACUGACAGUCUUCGCGUCUUCUUUGAAAUAUCACCUUUAGGAUCUUUCCAAACCGUACAGAAAUUCUCAUCUGCUGAUUUAGAAAGAGCAAUCUUGUGCAUAAGGCUAUGGAGUCGGCAAGUUUGCGGCCUUCCAUCAAAGUCCGAUUCACUUGCCUGUAUUAAGUUCCUCUCCAUGAGCUCUUCGAGGUACUUUUCUCCAAUAUCUUCGACUUCUUUGCCAUUCUCUUUCUCUACAAGACCUUCGGCUAUCCACAAUCUAAUCAAUGUUCUUCGCUUCACAGAGUAAUCGUCCGGAAACAUGGUCAUGUACAGAAAGCAGAAUUUAAGAUGGUCCGG